GUCAUAACGACUCUCGGCAACGGAUAUCUCGGCUCUCGCAUCGAUGAAGAACGUAGCGAAAUGCGAUACUUGGUGUGAAUUGCAGGAUCCCGUGAAUCAUCGAGUCUUUGAACGCAAGUUGCGCCCGAAGCCACUAGGCCUAGGGCACGCCUGCCUGGGCGUCAC
This 165-nucleotide ribosomal RNA is filed under the name Globularia amygdalifolia. RNAcentral describes it as "5.8S ribosomal RNA". It matches the Rfam family "5.8S ribosomal RNA". Rfam says of the family: 5.8S ribosomal RNA (5.8S rRNA) is a component of the large subunit of the eukaryotic ribosome. Lineage: Eukaryota; Viridiplantae; Streptophyta; Magnoliopsida; Lamiales; Plantaginaceae. The record is from RNAcentral.